Molecule: ribosomal RNA, 485 nt
Filed under: uncultured bacterium
Lineage: Bacteria
Description: bacterial SSU rRNA
Rfam family: Bacterial small subunit ribosomal RNA
Source: RNAcentral
CUCAGGAUGAACGCUGGCGGCGUGCUUAACACAUGCAAGUCGAACGAAGAAGAGUUGAAUGAGAGCUUCGGCAGGAUUUCUUCUCAUCUUAGUGGCGGACGGGUGAGUAACGCGUGAGUAACCUGCCUUUCAGAGGGGGAUAACAGUUGGAAACGACUGCUAAUACCGCAUAAGCGCACAGCACCGCAUGGUGCAGUGUGAAAAACUCCGGUGGUACAAGAUGGACCCGCGUCUGAUUAGCUAGUUGGUAAGGUAACGGCUUACCAAGGCGACGAUCAGUAGCCGGCUUGAGAGAGUGAACGGCCACAUUGGGACUGAGACACGGCCCAAACUCCUACGGGAGGCAGCAGUGGGGAAUAUUGCACAAUGGGGGAAACCCUGAUGCAGCGACGUCGCGUGAAGGAAGAAGUAUUUCGGUAUGUAAACUUCUAUCAGCAGGGAAGAUAAUGACGGUACCUGACUAAGAAGCUCCGGCUAAAUACGUG